This 3545-nucleotide long non-coding RNA is filed under the name Aquilegia coerulea. RNAcentral's name for it is "long non-coding RNA (ACOE_LNC001326)". The record is from RNAcentral. Lineage: Eukaryota; Viridiplantae; Streptophyta; Magnoliopsida; Ranunculales; Ranunculaceae.
UUAGCUGUAAGACUGAGUAUUGAAAAAAAACAGAGCUUUUGUUUGUUCUGUUUCUAUAAAUAUGGAAACAUCACUUAAAUUAUUUGAAUCUUACAGUUUGUAAGGUUACAAAUUUCAACUGAUCAUUUCUGAAAAUCAUGUCUACCUGAUUGACCUCAGCCCAUAUAAAAUCAUCAAUAAUGCAUUAAUGCACAAAGAAUCAAUAAUAACUUGGUGAUGGCAAAUUCUUUCCAGUUCGGCUUUGCACAACAAAUCAAGCUUCGAUGAGGUAGGAAGGAACUCAUGGCUUAUCUUUCUCUGCUGCUAGUAGCCUCCUUUUGCGACUUUGCGUCAUCAAUAAGCUCGUUUUAAUCAAGAGAGAUAUCUGUUUUAACAAUAGUAGUAAAACUGUAUUAGACUUCUCUCUUUAAGAAGGGAUACCGGACACAUCUUUUCCAUAAAAUCAAUAAGGAUGCUAAUCAACAACUUGCUUGAUGUGUAAAUACAUAAUGUACUACCACAAGCGCAGAGAAGGAGAGUGUGUGUGUGUGUUCUGGAUGAGGCAUGACCGCAUGUAGAUGCGUUAAGAGUGUGUCAAUAAGCGAGGAAAAUUGAAAUUGUUUUUUUUUUUUUAUAUAUAUGUUUUUAGAAAUAUAUUUCUCAGGAUGACAUGGGAUUCUACUUCUGAAUUACUUUUUGAAGACUGCAGUAUAAUUUACACUAGAUUCCUGCAUUAGUGCGUUAUAUUAAGUGGCUCCGGACGUUCCACACUGCUUAAACUGAAUAUUAUGGGGGUCGUUAUGUACGCAUUAAAAAUGUAACGUAGAAUAAAAGGAAGUUCAUGAAGCUAACUGUACCUUAUUAAUCUCCCAAAGCUUAGCAAAAUACAAAAUGCCAUGAAAUUUCUGCCGGCUUUUAAAGAAAUCGACAUGAUAUUUUAGCGAUAUUCCAAAGGUCUGAACGUGGAAUACUGGCUGUCACUUGUUGCCUGUAGCAUUGGAAUUUUGAUAAAUUCUGCUUUUUCAUGGAAUGUUCUACUAUGGGUAAGUACUCCCACCUGUCUUUCCAGAGAAAAGCAUGGAUUUCCGGAAUGUGACUAAUUCUCUGACGAUCUUCUUCGUCCUCAUGCAACACUCGGUUCAUAAGUACUUCAGACAUGUCAUAGAGCCGAAGGUCUUUGAGGUUAGUGAAGUGCUCAAUGCCUAAUGGCACAUCCAUUAGUCUACCACAACGCGCAAUAUGUAGUCUUUCAAGCUGAAGGACAGACCCUUUCUUGAAUUCAACUUUCGUCAAUCCUUCUAGCUCCGCAAGAUUUAGAAAAUUGAGUUUAGGAAAACCUCCCAACUCAAAACAUAGUAAAUCUCCAGAAAAUGCAUUCAAAAGCUUGAGCUCAACUAAAUUUGGCAAUUCUUGAAGACCCUCAACUGGACUAUCGCUUAAGCAUGCCCACCUCAAACUUAUCCUAAUCAGGUGGCGAAGCGAAGAAAUCCAUCUUGGUAAUUUUGAUAAAGGCCCUCUCAUCACUAAACGUUGUAGAAGUGGAGGAGGAACAGACAGGGACUCAAGAUCAAGAAAAUCAUUUUCCCUUUCUGAGGAUACACUCAAUGAGCGGAGGUUGCUCAUCUUCUCAAGGGAGGAGUACAUUUUAUUCCCAUCUUCUUUUUUUAGGUUGGUGAUGCCCAACUUCCUCAGUUGACUUAACUUUCCAAGCGCUUCAAUUACUCCAUUUCCUUGGUUAGCCUCUAUAAAACUAAAUUUGUGCAGAGAUUUUAGAGAUGAUAUUCCCGCAUUUGCCUUAAAACCCUUCAAAAAGUUGAAAGGUGAAAAUGGGCUAAAGGUGUAGUGGUUAAUAAAAGAAGGUAGUGUAGGUUCUGGAGCUUAAAGAUUCCAACUGGUAAUUCCGCUACAUCUGUAUGCUUGAGAUCUAAGGUCUUCAACUUCUGAAGCUUGCCAAUGGAACUCGGAAGCAAUUUUAUCUUAGUUCUCCUCAUGCCCAAAUAUCUCAAAUGGAAUAGAUUCAAGAGCUCAUUCGGAAAUAGCUCAAGAGGCUCACUUUUCAAAUCUACCACUCUUAUUCAUCUGAAAUCAGCAAAGAAGUCAUUCGGAAAAUGCGAGUCUGCAGACUUAUUCAUCUGAAAUAGAAAGAGAGAUCGAAUAUGACGAUGAGAGAAGCUAUUGUUGUCUUGUACUACUGCAUAGUCUUCAUAAUUUUGUAUCCACAAGUGUCUCAUCUAUUUUCUUGCCCAUAUCAGAAAUUACUGCACCAAACUGAGCGUCAUGAGACUUAGAAAGGAUGGUCAUGAGACUUAGAAAGGAUGAUUUCCCGCAUAAGAUCGUGAACUUGACAUCUUUUUGCCCUCCCACCUCUAUCUUUUACUACCACUUGAAGCAAGUUUCUGUUUAUGAUGAGCUCAUUUAGAUAGCUCUCAGAUACCUCUUCCACGGUCCUCCCUUCUAUUUCUUGGACAAAACCUUCAGCAAUCCAUAGCCAAAUCAGCCUCCUGCACUUAACAAAGUUACGUUCUAGAAACAGGGCUAUACACAUGAAACACGCUUUGAGAUUGUAAGGCAAAUCUGUGAAGCUCAAUGUUAGUAUUCUGUUCAUACUCUCAAGCAUGUAAUUGUUUUUUAUCUCCUCACCAAGGCUGCGGUAAAUCAUUUCCCAUUCCAUAUACUUCAAUCCUUUUGUAGCCAAAAAAACAGCAAUGGACACAAUCCCGAGUGGCAAGCCUGCACAUUUUGACAAGAUCUUUUUGGAAAGUUCCUCAAAUUCCAAAGGCGGCCAAUGAUUGCAUGAGAUCCCAACUAGUAUACUUUCAUCAAGAAUAUCUUCAAUGUCACAAGCAACUUCUCUUAAUUACUUCACCCAAACUUUUACAACUUCAGCUCUUACAAAGGCUGUCAUACUCUCAAGUUCAUUUUUGAUAAAUUUGAUUUCACCACGCACCCCUCUCUGUAGUACCUUUCUCUUGAACAAGCAAUUUGCCUAGCUUGUCAAGUAGGUUAGUCACAACAAUCUCUGCCAUCUCUCUCCUUUUCUUGAAACAAGUUUUGUGCUCCUUACUAUGAUUCAAUUCAAUGGAAGCUAAAAAAAAAUUAAACAAUUCAAUCUCAUUCCUAACUACAAAAUGCUUUCUACAGUCAAUGACUUUGUAUCUAAGUUUCAUAUUUGGAGGAUUUGAUUUCUAUAAACAAGCAAUGUUGAUUUAUAUUCAAAUACUUGACCACAUGUAGAUAAGAUAAAUCUGAGUAUUUAAGCAAUGUUCAUAGCUAGCCUAGUUUAAUCAAAUUAAUAAUAUUGUACACAAAUAAAAUAAAAUGCAAACAAUUGAAACUGCUGACUUGAUUCUAGAGUUGAACUACAUACUUAUCUGGUACCAAGAGGAGGGCUUGGAAUGAUUCUUGAACUGAACUGAGAUUAUUUCUACACCCACUAUAAGCUCAAAUUCUUGCUUCAAUUAUCAAGGAGGAAGGGUUACAAUCCAAUAAUGGCUUUAUUUUUAUUUAUUUUUUUGGUAAAGCCAAUUGUAUGGCUUUACUGAUCAUUUUGCUGUAUGUUUCUUGGC